Neofelis nebulosa (Clouded leopard) is the source of this 4049-nucleotide long non-coding RNA. RefSeq lists it as uncharacterized. Lineage: Eukaryota; Metazoa; Chordata; Mammalia; Carnivora; Felidae. The transcript is spliced from 3 exons. The record is from RefSeq and is a predicted model, not a curated record.
CCUCCACUUCUAAUUAGAAACUCACCGGGGGAGUGAGCUGCAUCACACACAAAGGCAGGUAAAACAGGGCUGGCCAGUCGUCCUAACUUUCUGCUGAGAAAGCUUUAUCAGCAGAAAAUACAGGGUCUUGUCUCAUUCAAUGGAUGUGACUGACAGUCUAAUCGAUGUUCUCAGGAUUCUGGAUGUCUUCUGCCUCAACUAGCCAGAGACCAGCGUUCCUGCGUUGGUACAACUGCUGAAUUUACAAUAAAAUAAAUCCUGGGGCACCUGAGUGGCUCAGUAGGUCAAGCUUCCAUUCUUGACUCUGGCUCAAGUCAUGAUCUCAUGGUUGAUGGGAUCAAGCCCCAAGCUGGGCUCUGUGCUGACAGUGCAGAGCCUGCUUGGGACUCUCUCAAUAAGAGACUUAUUAAAGAAGGGACUUAUAAAAAACUAAAUCCCCAAACUGGAAAAUAGACGAAUACUCAGAAGUGGUGCCAAGGCUCUGUGAUAGCAUUUUAAAAAUCCUGGGGCAUCUGCAUGGCUCAGUCCAUUAAAUGUCUGAUGCUUGAUUUGGGCUCAGGUCACCGUCUCAUGGUUUAUGAGCUCAAGCCUGCUUGGAAUUCUCUCUCCUCUCAAAAUAAGAUGAACAAGAUGUAUUUUUUAAAUUUUAAAAAUUGCACUCAAAUCUUUAACUAAAACUUUACCAAGUAAAGCAUUUAGAAUUUGCUUUCAUUAGGUGUGAAGGUGGUUUUGUUUUGCUUUGUUUAUGGUAUGGAAUCCUAGGUCGCCUUGAUUCCCAAAAGUGAGGCUUUGUUAUUUCCAAUGUCUGUACACCCUUGUGAAUAAAUCCUCAGACACAUCUUAGGGCAAAAACCUUAAAGUGAAACUGAUGGGCCUAGGAAGAUCAUUUUCAUUUUAUAGAAGUAUAACCUACAUUCAAGGCAAAAAAUUGGAAGAAGGAAACCAGUCCUAAUCUGUACCAGCCACCUUAAACAUCUCACUAGUACGCCCCAAUGCUUUUCUUUAUAAAAACUAUCCUGCGUGCACGGUAACACACCUGUAUACUCAGUAUAAUAUAUACAUACAGUGGACUUUUCCCCGUGAAAAAGUACACAAUCAUUUUUUAUGGCCUAAUAGCAGUCGCUGUAUGGAGGUAUCAUCACUGGAACUAGUCCACUGGUCAAUAAGUAAAAGGCUUUGAUUUUUGCUUAAUGCAAACACUUGCAUCUUCCUAUGCAAAUAUCUACAUCUUGGGUCAAUCACCACUACUGGAAGUAGAACUGCUAAGACAAAGAACAUGCUUUUGAAUAGGCUUCAAGCGCAGAGCCAAUGUGGGGCUUGGACCCCAAACUCUGAGAUCAAGACCUGAGCUGAGAUUAAGAGGUGGACAUUUAACCAACUGAGCCACCCAGGCACCCCAAACAUGCUCCUUUUCAAAGCUCUAGACACACAUUCAUAUUGGGAGGUACUUGAGCACAUAUCAAUUUCAGUAUUUAUCAUGAUUUUUGCCACCUAGUCUGACUUCACUUGAUCAAAUCCAUCAGCCCUUCUCUACCCCAUUCAUUAAAAGUGCGAGCUUGAGCAUUAAACAGACUUCAGGUCUGUGACCGAAUUUUUCCAGGCCCAUUUCCUCAGUGGCAAGAGUAAAAACAGUUCUGUUCUUGAGAUUAUGAAAGCCAGGGCCAUCAAUGUGCUUCACAGCUCCAUCAUUUCUGGAAAUAUGUUCAGUAUUUACUAGGAUUUUUGUUUGAAUGUCUUCUAGGUUAGGGGUGCUUGGGUGGCUCAGUCAGUUGAGCAUCCGGCUUUAGCUCGGGUCAUGAUCUCACGUUUCAUGGGUUCGACAACUGUGCCAACAACUCAGAGCCCGGAACCUGCCUCGGAUUCUGUGUCUCUUCUCUCUGCCCCUCCCCCACUUGCACUCUCUCAAAAAUAAACAUUAGAAAACAAAUUUUAAUGGAGGUAGAAAUGCAACAUCUUAACUCCAAACUGUUAAAUGUUUAAAUAGACUUGAUCCUAUUUUUUUUUUUGAACUGUCUAUUCUGUUCCAUGCGUAUACCUACCUACAUUACAAGAUUACAUUGUUUUAAUAAGGGCAGCUAAUACACUGUAUUUUUACAGGGCUUUUCCUUUCUCAUUUCCCACAACUUCUCUCCCAAUUAGUGUUUGUUUUAAUACUUUCCUGACUGUAUUUUUUCAGAAUGGCACACUGAGAUCUAAUCAGACCAACUUGGGAGUACUCCAUUUUAAUAAUACUGAGUCACUAUCCAGGAACAUAGCACGCCCAUCUAUUAAUAUCUUUUAUGGACUUCAGUCAAGUUUUAGUUCAUAACAGCAUUUGAUCUCUACUCUCUAAAAUUAGUAUUUCUUUCUACUACUUGUUCUAUGGACUAAUUUGCCUAUUCCUAUAGUGACUUGAAAGGUAUUCAUACUUAAAAAUUUAGUUACAUUUGAAGCCUUAAACAUUCUCCAUCCUAAGUUUAUCACGUUCCUCACUUAACUAGUCCACCCCCUAAUGACACCCCCAACUCCUAUUUUUUGUAAACAAUCUGGAAUUUAAAAAAAAAUUACAUAAAGCAAAAUUCAGUUUUUACGGGGUGUUUAAGUUCUGGGAGUUCUGACAAAUGCAUAGUCAGGUAACAUCAAAAUCAAGAUACAGACCGGUUCCCUUGCUCACCUACAAUCUCCUCAGCAGCCCCUUGAUACUCAAGUCCUCCCCUACCCCAAUCUGUUCUCCAUCUCUCUGGUUUUGCCCAAUCUCAGAUUUGUAUACGUCUUUAUCAGUAAGUGUAAUAAGACUACUUUUUCUCUUAUUAAAUUUAGUUUCAUUGGUUUUCAGCUUAGAAUUCCAUACAGCCAAAGUAACUUCAAACCUGCUUUUGUCAUUUCUACGAAGUCCUUCCUGGCUGUUCUAAUCAAAAUGGCAACAUACGGCAGUUCUAAAAGGCUGCACAACCAUCGGGUCUAAAUUACUUUGUUUCUUGUUUUAAUUUACAAAAUAAGUAUCCUACCCUGUACAGAGUUGGGAGUAGAGCCCAGCAUUUUCAAAAGGGCUGGUACCCCUCGAAAUGAUUUUGAGGGCCACAUGGUGUGUCCACGCCUCCUGAUGGUCUGUUUGAAUCUAUUACACCUAAAAGGUAACUUCUUCCUGCCCAAGUGCUUACAGAGUCUUCUAUUAAAACUGUAUGUUGCUUAUGCCAAAGACAGUACAAAGUACCCUAAGGCUGAAAUUCAGCAGGAAUUAUCUGCACAAAAAUUUAAACUAGUUCAGUCAUUAAUAAUUUCACCCAUUAAUGAUAGAAUCUAAUACGGAGAAAUGUGACUGAUGUACUUUUUAUCCCUUGUCUCAAUUUUACAAUUGAAAUGAGGGGAUGCUUUUACCUAGAGCUGCAAAGCAACUGGAGGAUCUACUCCUGUGACUUGGAAAUUCCCCGAGGAAAAACUGGCUGAUUGUUUAAUGAACUGCUUUUUGACAGAACUGGCAAGGAGGGUAAUUCAGAAUGGCGAGGUUUGCUCAAUGAAAAAGCCACACUUGAGAGGUUGAUGGGGCAGGUGUCAAGAUCCAGGCACAGAGAAGAACCAGAGCUGAAGGGAGAAGAGAGGCUGGCCUAAAGGAGAAGUCCUACAGCCAGGCCCGGAACCAGCGUGAGCACCCUUACUGCCAUAUCAUACCCUACACCCUCCUGCCCCCCUGGGGCUAAGGGAAAAACGUGCAUGUAUCUGUAAAGAACUCCCAGGUGCUGUUCUUGAACACAAACAGGCACACUCCUAGUUCAGUGGGCUGGUUACGAGGCAAGUCAUGUGCCAGGAACUCGAUCUGCACCCACCCUACACCAGAGCCUCCUCUACAGUACCGCAUCUUUAAUCCUGACUCUGCUACUAACUGUAACUCCAUGGAUCACUCCUCUGUGUUUAUCCUCAUCUGUAAAAUGGGGAUGGAUAGCAGAAAGGCAUCUGGAACAGACCUGGGCUGAACAAGUAUUUGUAAUGCUAAUGUAACGCUAACACAGAAUGCUAAACAAGUAUUUGUGAAGUUAAUUUCCCCUAAAUUACACUUGGCUCUCUAUCAAGCA